This 99-nucleotide small RNA is filed under the name Pongo abelii (Sumatran orangutan). RNAcentral's name for it is "processed transcript". The record is from RNAcentral. Lineage: Eukaryota; Metazoa; Chordata; Mammalia; Primates; Hominidae.
GACUAGCUGAAAACAUCCACGAGCUUUGGGGAAUGAAUAAAAUAGAACUUGGCUGGACUUUCGGCAAGUGCCAGCUGUCAAAACUUAAAUCACAUUCUU